Rhododendron vialii is the source of this 99-nucleotide small nuclear RNA. Lineage: Eukaryota; Viridiplantae; Streptophyta; Magnoliopsida; Ericales; Ericaceae. The record is from RefSeq and is a predicted model, not a curated record.
GUCCCUUCGGAGACAUUCGAUAAAAUUGAAACGAUACAUAGAAGAUUAGUAUGGCCUCUGUGUAAGGAUGACAUGCAUAAAUCGAUUUAGGAUGGUGUU